This 425-nucleotide long non-coding RNA is filed under the name Glycine max (soybean). Its description in RNAcentral is "long non-coding RNA (GMAX_LNC001408)". Lineage: Eukaryota; Viridiplantae; Streptophyta; Magnoliopsida; Fabales; Fabaceae. The record is from RNAcentral.
GACAGAUGCGACUAUAGCGUGCCUUCCCUACUUCGACUCCCUCGCCCCUCCACUGCCGCACAAACAACCCUUCAACACGUCACCUUCCUUUAAACUAACCUUAGCUCUGACAUCACCCUUGCCGCCACCUCCCUUCCAACACCACCACUGUCCAGAUCUGGUGUUGCCUUCAUUUUUUGAUUUUGCAAAUCCUUUUUUUUUUCUUUUCAAAAGUUUUUUCUAAUGGCAGAUCUGGUCUCAGAAUCUUAUUUGUAAUUUUUUUUAUUUUCGUUUAACUUUUUGUUGCUUGCUUCCUUACUCUAUACUCAAAUUCGGCACUGUUAUUUUUUUGAUUUCCUUACUCGGUCGGACGACAUGGUGGUGGUGGCGUGGCGUGGUUGGUGGCGGCGGCGGCGGUUUCCGUUGGAAUAAGAGAAGGAGGGGAG